AGAAGGGAAUUGAUGUAUCAUACUUAGUUUCGACCUAAAAUUAGGCUAUUAGCCCCACUCUU
This 62-nucleotide transfer RNA is filed under the name Eubranchipus grubii. RNAcentral's name for it is "tRNA-Arg". The record is from RNAcentral. Lineage: Eukaryota; Metazoa; Arthropoda; Branchiopoda; Anostraca; Chirocephalidae.